RNAcentral lists this ribosomal RNA (525 nucleotides) under uncultured bacterium. RNAcentral describes it as "bacterial SSU rRNA". It matches the Rfam family "Bacterial small subunit ribosomal RNA", at positions 355 to 896 of the family's 1533-position model. The record is from RNAcentral.
UGGGGAAUAUUGCGCAAUGGGCGGAAGCCUGACGCAGCCAACCCGCGUGUGUGAUGAAGGCCUUCGGGUUGUAAAGCACUGUCGUGAGGGAAGAAGAUCUGACGGUACCUCACAAGAAAGCACCGGCUAACUCCGUGCCAGCAGCCGCGGUAAUACAGAGGUGGCAAGCGUUGUUCGGAAUUACUGGGCUUAAAGGGCGCGUAGGUGUCCUGGCAAGUCAGAUGUGGAAUCUUUCUGCUUAACGGAAAAAUUGCAUUUGAAACUGCCGGGAUUGAGUCAGACAGGGGAUGGCGGAAUUCCUGGUGUAGCGGUGAAAUGCGUAGAUAUCAGGAGGAAGGCCUGUGGUGAAGACGGCCAUCUGGGUCUGAACUGACACUGAGGCGCGAAAGCGUGGGUAGCAAACAGGAUUAGAUACCCUGGUAGUCCACGCCCUAAACGGUGGGUACUAGGUGUGGGGCUCGCAAGGGUUCCGUGCCGAAGGGAAACCAUUAAGUACCCCGCCUGGGGAGUACGGCCGCAAGGUUG